CUCAGGGAUUCUCUAAGCUUGGUACUGUCCGCCUGGGUCUCCCAUAAUUGCCCGUGACAGAUAAUACAGUGUCUCGAGGCAGAAACCAUGAUCCCUCUAAUCCAGCGGCCGAGGCAGAGGGCCUACUGCCUGCGGCCACCUGGCUUUCCUAACGGCUUAAUGAGAAAGUCAGAAUUAAUUGGAACUGGCACCCAGCACUUGCAGGGCUCGGCGUGGCCAGCUCGGCCUCCAUAUGUUAAAGCUGAGCAUCUCUGGUUCUGCUCUGACCUGUUCUGCACACCGACAGGUGUGUUGCCUGAAACUUGGAGGUUAGCCUGACAAGGGAGGUGGCUGGGGCUGUGGUGACCAGUGCCACAGCCUUCCUCCCAGCUUUUGGUCACUGAGGCUCCACAGUAACUGGCUUCUAAGUACAGAUAGCCUCUCUGAGGUCAAGUCAACAUUCUGGACACCCAGAACUGGCCAGUCCUGUCCUGGCAGACACACAGCUGAACAGUCGUUGAUCAUGGACAGGUAACUCCUUGGUGGGAGUGUUGAACUCCUACUCAUAUGCCAAAGCCCCAGUGCUCCAUGCUUACCCAUUUGGGAACCCAUCUAUCCCUACUGGCCUUUUCCAGCUUGGGGUCUCUUCUACCACUCAAACCCUGACCACAUAGCACUGGGAAUCUGUGUGUCCUGCUCCGUGUUUCCGACCUUCAGUGGGGUGACCCUUGAAGGCAUAGCACUAAAUUGAGAUUUCUCUGGCGCACAACAUCACUCACUCAGCCUGGACACAGAAAAUGUACUGGUUGAAUGUAUCAUGAAGGAAAUAAGGGGCUAAAUGAGAGUCAGAUAUGUGAGUGACAAAUACAAACCUCAGUCACUUCCCUCCAGGGCUCCCGUCUCCCUUAGGGUAAAAGCCCAAGUCCUGCUUGUGGACCCUCAAGGCCCUGCACGACCUGCUGCAUUCCUUCCCACCGCACCCCCCCCUCCCCUUAGCUCACUCUGCUCUAACCCUAUAGGCCUCCUCACUGUUCCUCCAAGACACUAAGCAGGGUCUUGCCCCAGGGCCUUUGCACGGGCUGUUCCCCAGCUCAGCAUGCAGUAAGCACUCUUGAUUGUGACCUUUGGCGUGGCUGGCUCACUCCUCCGUCAGAUCUCCAUUCAAAUGCCACCUCCACAGAGGGGCCUCCCUUGACCUUGAUCUCUGAAAUAGCCGGCCAGUCUGGGGCUCUAGUCCCUGCCUGGCACUUCCCACGAUCGGAUGCAGUGUGUAUUUACAUAGUUAUCUUUAUGAUGCGGCUGUUUUCUGUACGUUUUAUUCCCUGGUUCCCUGGGCGCCUCCAUCUGCCUGGCGCGCAGUAGGCACUUAAUACAUCUCGGCGUA
Odocoileus virginianus texanus is the source of this 1363-nucleotide non-coding RNA. Lineage: Eukaryota; Metazoa; Chordata; Mammalia; Artiodactyla; Cervidae. The record is from RefSeq and is a predicted model, not a curated record.